CCCGUCCAGAGGGCUGCCGGGGAGACCAGUCACGGAUGCAGUCUAGGCAAGAAGGCACAUGCGACAGCCACUCGAGUCUGUCCCCACUGGCGUGGGAGCUCUCCGAGACCAGGACCUUGGCUUAUUAUUUAUCUUUGUGUCCCUAACAUCUGGCACAGAGAAAGUAUUCGAUAAACGUGUAUUGAAAGGAGGGAGGGAGAAGGAAGAAAGGUAGUUUGGCGGAGGCUUAUGUUUGCGCAGAAGUGGGCGGGUCAAGAUGAAGUCCUGUGAAGUGGAGCCGAGCACGGUAUCGCUCCACGUCAGAAACCUGAUGCAGAGGCGACCGAAGACACCGUGGGUCUCAUGCUGCCCCCUGAGGAGGAGACACCUGGAUUCUGACUCCAGAGGCCUGGAACUCUUUGACUCCCUGUAGGGCGGCGCAGGGGUCCAGAACACAGUGUGCUGUCUGGCACACAGUAGGCACUCAGUGAUGUUGGAUAAAGAAAGAAGGAAUGCCUAAUAGAUACCCUGCCUGGCGCACAAUGGCUGCUUCAGGAAUGUUUUGUUCAGUGACUAUAUGGGUGUCAUAUCUUAACCAAGAGUCAGAGCCGCUGAAAUAUCGCUUUCAGUGCUGAGACCUCGUGCUGCCUCCACGGCUUGCAGUAAGUUGUAAAGACUAUUGUGUGAGCCACCAGACUGUGUGCACCCAGAGGGGUGUCAUUCUGUUCAUUCCGGGUUGGGGAGAGUCCUUGUUUCCCCUCCUGUUAAACAGAAAGCCCAGCGCUCUUUGGAGAUGUGGGCUGAGCGUAGGCCCUUCCUCAGACUUGGUCCUGUAGUGAAUCCUGAUGCUUGUCUGGUCUGAAGUAUGCACCAGGAAUGGUGUUGGGUGCUUUACACAUGUUGUGAGAUUUGAUACUUAGAAUUCAUUGAAGUUUUACAGUCUUCAUUUUUUAGAGGUGGAAACUUAAGAUCAGAAAGGCUAAUGACUUUCCCACGGUCACUUGGCUGGUAAAGGGUGGAGAGAAGGGGCAUCCUGUACGCUUGACAUCCUCCUCUCUGGACCAGUGGCUCUCAGCCCAGGCUGCCCAUUAGAACCAGCCAGGGGGCUUUAAUCGCUGCCCAGGCAUCAGUAUCCUUCCAAGCUUUCCAGGUGUUUGUGAUGGGCACCCAGGGUUGAGAAGCCUCACUCCCCAGCCUCCCCUGGGGCAUCGCCCCUACUCCUGAGGCUUCAGCCUCCACCACAGUUUUGUUAACUUCCAGAUUCCUGCUGGACCACUCCACUUGGGACAUUCCGAUCAGCACUCUACCCGCUCUCCCCAAAUUUGCACCUCCUCUCAUAGACUCAUUUUAGAACCUCUCCACCCAAGGAACAUAGAAAUCCCGAGUCUUCUCUGACUCUUGCUCUGCUCUAUCUCUCACAGUCACUAAGUGCCUUUGAUCCCAUCUUGAGACCUCUCCAGUCUGUCCCCCGUCAAUAUCCCCACAGCCACCACCACUGCCACCCCAUAACUUCUCUCAUGGGUUUCAGCAAUAGCCUUCUACCUUUUGCCUGCCACCAGCAAGCUCCUCUAGUCCGUUCUGUAUAAUGUGGCUAGGUUGGUCUUUCUUUCUUUCUUUUUUUUUUUCUCUCCAAAGCCCCAGUACAUAGUUGUAUAUCCUAGUUGUAAGUCCUUCUAGUUCUGUGUGGGAUGCCACCACAGCAUGGCUUGAUGAGCCAUGCAUAGGUCCACGUCCAGGAUCCAAACCUGCGAACCCCAGCAGCCGAAGUGGAGCAUGUGAACUUAACCACUCAGCCAUGGGGCUGGCCUCUAGGAUGAUCUUUCUAAAAUGCUAAAAAGCCUUCAGUUGCUCCCCAUUGGCUUUAAGAAAUGUGUCCCAACUCCUCAAUAUGUCAUAUCUUGCUCUGAGAUACCAGUCUUCUCCUGCUACAUCAUCUUAGGCAGCUUACGGUCCUGAAUUAAGGUAAUUGUGGCUUUUCCUCAGAGCACAAAGCACCCUCAGGCCUACCUGCCUCUGCACAGGCAGCUGCUUGUGCUUACCAUCCCCCUCCUUUCCUGGUAGAUCCCGGUGCUCCUUCCCCACCCUGUUCAGAGGGACCCUUUUCCAGGAGCCUCCUUAGAUUGCCUCUGCCCACCAGGCUGGUGUAGGCACCUUUCUCUGUGCCACAGUUUAUAGGACUUGCAUUAUGUUGUGUUUUCCUGUUCGAUGGUCUGUCUAGAUUAAGAUUAGGCCUUAUCUUACUCAUGUUUGAACCCCAGCCCCAAGCACAUUGACUAGCACGGCAUAGUCGCUCAGCACGUGUCUGCCAAAUGAAGAUGAGGCAAAGCUUGGACCCUGCCACCAGGCUGCGAGAACAUAACACCAGAGAGUUUGGUAUGGGCACUGUGUAGGAUGGCUUGGGAAAAGGAGAAGAAAAGGCAGAGAACUGUCAGAAGAGGUCUAGUAUUCUGGGUAAGAAGUUGUGAGCCUGGAAUAAGAGCUUUGGAUGUAGAAACAAGGAGGAAGAAGUGAUCCUAAGAGAAGCAAGAAAGCAAAGGUCAAACUCAUGAUUACAUAUGAUUUUUUGGUAAAAGUAGGGACAUUUUUAGAAAAGACCCUGCAUGCGUUCAAAUAUCCAAAAAACAACUACAUACAACAUGAUGUCAGGGGAAUAUCUGGUUAUGGAUUCUAAAAAUAAAUUCUCUUUUUAGUUAGGAGUUGAAUUUCUAUAUCUGAAACUUCAGUGAUACUGCUGUAAAAGGUGUUUAUCAUAUUUGUGGCAAAUAUGGCCUCCUAUAUUUUGGAGAAGUCUCCAGAUUAUGAAUUUUCCUCCUGAAGGCAGAAGGCAGAAUUCGGUGUUCCAGUUUUCCUUGAAGCCAGGGCACAGGAACUGAUCUAGGUCCUGUCCAUCAGACUUCUAUUUAAAAAGAGGCAAUAUAAGAAAAGUGAGCUGUGUGGAAUCUCUUUCUGGAAGGGGCGGUGGGUGGUGGAGAGACACAUGACUUUCAGAACAGCAGUGGCAGAGGUCCACUGCUGUUCUCCAUUGCUCAGUGUCAGGGGUGUGAGCUGCAGGGUCAGCGCCCAGAUGUGACAGGGUCCUGUCCCAGAGAAGGACUGUGGGGUGAAUGGGUGCUGUCCCUGGCUGCACAGCCCCCUAGACUAAUUCUCUGCCUUUCCUGGGAAUAUCACGAGUUACCUAAUAUCCUUUGAUUUUCUGUUUAAACUCACUAGAGUGGGUUCUGUUGCUUGCAACUAAAAACCCUGACUGAUAAGAUUGCUAUUGCAUGAUAAGGCCUAAGGUGUUUAGAAGAAUGGGGUGACCAAAACUGAAAACAUUAGGACAGGUUAUAACAAAUAAAUACAAAUAAAAAGAAAGUGGAGGGGCUGGCCCCAUGGCUGAGUGGUUAACUUUGUGUGUGCGCUUCGCUUCAGUGGCCCAGGCUUUUGCAGGUUCGGAUCCUGGGCGCGGACAUGGCACCACUCAUCAGGCCACUCUGAGGUGGCAUGCCACAUAGCAGAGCCAGAAGGACCUACAACUAGAAUAUACAACUAUGUACUGGGGGGCUUCGGAGAGAGGGAAAGGAAGAAGAAGAAAAAAAAGAUUGGCACUCGAUGUUAGCUCAGGUGCCAAUCUUUAAAAAAAAAAGAAAGUGCAGCUCUCAAUCUUAACAUAAGAUGGAAUUCACACAAAAAGACCAUUAUGUAAGGGCACUUUAUAAUGCUAACAGGUGUAAUUACAAGAAGAUGUAAUAGUAAUGAGGAUAUGUGUACAGCAGCUCCAUUCAUAAAGUAGGAAUCAUGAGCAAUAUACAGAGACGUCUACAUUACUACUUCUAAUCUAUGACACUAAAGUAAAUCUAAGUGAUGGAUAUUGAACUCUGUAUCCUCGGAAUAGAGAAUGCACCUUCUUAUCAACUGCCCAUGUAACACUUGUGAAUUACAGAAGUUCCAAAGGGAUAAAUAGUGCAGAAAAUACUCAGUACUCAUCAUGCAAUAAAAUCAGACAUUAAUAAUAAAGCCAGAAACAAAAUGUCCCUUCCACUAGGAAAUUAAAAAUCUCUCUGUUUACAUUUUGAAAUAUUUACAGAGAAAAUGAUAAGAUGUCUGGGAUUUGGGGUAAGAUAAACCAAGAUUGGUCACGUAUUGAUAAUUGUUGAAGCUAGGUGAUGGGUACAUGGGAAUUUCUUAUACUAUUCUCUGUACUUUUGUGUACGGUUAGAAUUUUGUAUUAAAAAAUUUUUAAACCACUUUAUUAAAUACUUUUUGUAUAAAGAUGAUAAAGAAAUCAAAAUUGUAACAUUUCUAGAGAACAGCAAUAAUGAUAUCUUUUGAAUACAGAUAAAGUAGAUCUCAUGAGAAAAUUUAUAGUCUUAAAUCAGUCCAACUAAAAUCAAUCCAAAAAGAAAGAAAGAAAGAAGUGAAUUAAAUAUCCAACUCUAAAAAUUAAAAAAUGAAGAGCAACAAAAUAAGCCAAAGAAAUGCAUAAGGAAGAAAUGAAACACAGAUAAAAAGCAGAAAUUAAUGAAUUAGAAAAUGGAAAAAGGUGGUGCCAAAUCCAAAAGCUGAUUCUUUAGUAAAAAGUAAAUAAAAUAGAUAAAUAGAAAAAAUAUAGUCAAUCUGCGAAUAAUCAAAAUAAUCUAAUCUUUGGAAUUAAAGAAUAAUCAUUAGAAUAAAAUGAUUAGAACCAAUUGGGUCACAGGCUUUUUAAAAAUAAUGCUGUGCACAGCCUUUUAACCCAAAAAAAGUUUGCAAUGAUUGACCAGUUGGACCAUAAAUUUAACUAUUUAAGUGCUACUAGCAAAGGCAGAUCUGACGCAGAACACUCAUGCAGAAGGAAGAGUAUUUGCGGGGAAUUUUGAGAAGAUGAAAUGGAGCAGUUGCAUCAUAACUGAUUUUCACAGUUAAUUUCUGCCUAAAAUUGAGAUGUGCCCAUGGACAGAGUGUUUUUCUCCAUGAUGACUAUUUUGCCUGACUGACCUCUCUCAAUGCUCACUCCCCAUUUUACAGGCACUCUCUGCAGCCCAGAACCAGAUGCAAGCAGCGCCUGGAGCAUCCUUCACCCCCGUCCCCUCAACAACCCCCCUCCGCACCGCCCCNNNNNNNNNNNNNNNNNNNNCGGGCCUGCAUCCAUCUUAGCACCCAAAUAUGUUCUUCAUAAAGUUCUCGUUAGAAACGUGAGACCUGUUAAUUUUGACCUCUCAUCCCCUUCAUUUUCAACCACCUCCACCCCUUUGUUCUCCCUUCUCCCCUCUGCUCUGUGCUUCCUCAGAUGAAGUCACGAGGGCCCUGUUGAUUUUCCCAUCAACAUUCUCCUUUCUGCCCUGUCGCAUCAUAAAUAGACUCCUCCGCUCCUUGCCCUUGUCUGAGGAGACCACUUCCUGUCGAAUUGCUCUUUCUCCUGUUUCCCUUGGCUUGCAUAUCCCAAGGCCAUGAGGAAUUGACCACCUCCCCUAGCUCUGCAGUUCUGCUUCCAGAUCACCAUAGACGUGCUCACAUAAAUGUAACCUAGGGGCUGCAAUGUGUCUGCAAGUUGAGCCCUUUACCUCCAUGGUUCUCUGUCUCCACUCUACUUUAGCCACCAAAUGCAGCUGCUCCACCUUGGAUCUCAUUAUCCCUUGGAAAUAUUCCACCUGUGAGAGGGUCCAAAUGCCUCUCUGACCAUAAUCCAGUCUUUCCUAGACCUUCCAGCUCUCUCAUUAAACAUUCAACAAAAAUUUAAUUAGCAUGUACUACACGUAGUAGGAUGUCACUGGGAUACAGUGAUGAACCAAAUAGACGUGGUCUCCUCAUCUAGAGCCUACAUCUCCUGCAGGAGAACAACAAUCAAAUAAUGACUUAAUUAACUGUUAAUUAAUCUGAAGCAAAUGCUGUGAAGGAAAGCACCACUGCUCAUCCUAUCCUGACCACUAAUCCUUGUCUCCUCCACAUCCUCUAGGCACAGUGAGCCCCUUCUUAUCAUCCUUUCUUUUUCCUUCCAGCCCAGACUCUAAAGUACAUAAUUUCAACCACUCUUACCAGCUCUCUCAAUGUCCUAGCCCUUUUUCUUUGGCAGACCAACAAACACAGAGUAAAUUCAGCUUUACAUCUUCCUUCCUUUAAACCAGGGUCCGGAGUAAGGCUGAUAAAUCACAAAUCAGCAUGACUCGGUGCCUUUAAGACAUCCAACCCCAACUGCACCCUCAAGACUGCUCAGUAGUGCUCAUGCACAUGUUCCUUAUCUCCACAGUUGGUAUUUCAGCCUCAACACAGCCUCCGCAUGCUCUUACACCCUUUCCCCUGGACAUGUCUUGGUGUCUUACUCCACAAAGAAAACAUGAACAUGAACUCUCACACCCUUCUGCUCUCUACCCACCCACAUGCAUACAUUAUAUUCAUUCUUAUCUCCUUCUCCCCAUCUCUCUUAAUAGGGAGUCCCUCCUUCUCUCAGAGGCUAACUUUUCCCCUCCUUUCUGGUCUUCCUGUUAUUUUUAGCCCCUUCUCAAUCUCUUGCAUGGAUUUUUCUUUUCACCUCUGUCUAUCCUUUGAAUAUAAAUGUCCCAAGUUAUUUCCCCUGCGACCUAGGUACUUUUCUUACUCUUCCUAGUCAGCUUGAGUGAUUUCCAUCACAACCAGGUCUUCAUUUGUUACCUAUGUGCUCAUUAUGCUAAAAUCUCUCUCUCUUUCUUUCUCGAGAAACCUUUCUCCUGACCACCAGAUGUAUUCCUCCGCCUGGAUGUCCUUAGGCAGAUCAGUCACACUCAUCUCUUCAGGACUGGACCCACCGUCUUCCUCAACAUGCGUAAAUAUGCUCCAGUGUUCCCAUGCUGGAAUUGCAACACUGCAUGCAGCUGCCCAAACGGCAGUAAGAGCCUUGGUGCAGGGGCUUUCUUUUCCCUGCUUCCCAAGCACUGUUGAUUAUUUUUCUUAAAUAUAUUCACCCCUGCCCUCUAACGAACCCCCAACCCCCAGUCCUACUCCAAUAAGGCAAUGGCCUUAUUUCAAGCCUUCCUACCUUCUUUCUCUCUCCCUCUACACCAGCCUCCAAAACAGGUCCAGAAAGAUCUUUCUGUCCGCAAAUCAGAUAAUGUUGCUUUCAUCACCAGAAUUUGCCACUGGCUCCCCACUGGCUCUAGGACAUAGCCUUAAGUCCUUCCACGGUGCCCAGGGCCUUCCUAGAGGUCCCUGCUGGGCUGCUCUUAAUGUCUCUAGCUGUGCUCCAGCAACACUGACCUGGUCAUCACGCUCUCUGCUGAGGACAUCCCUCCUCUCUCUGUCCCUCUAGCAAAUGCUUUCUCUUCCAUAAAGACUCAGCUCAGAUGUGCCCUCUGAGAGGCCCCGAGGAGAUGCUUGGCAUGCCUCUCCCACUGCCCUUCAGUCAUACCUUCAAUAUAGUGAUUAUCUUGUGGUGUUCAUUGUUUGUUUGCAAGUCUAACAGUAAACUCCUUCAGAGCAGAUUACCACCUCUGUUCCCAUUUAUAUCCCAAGUGUCUGAUGCAGUGCCUGGUACCUAGCUAAUGCUCAGGAGAUAUUGGCUGGGAUUAUCUUGAUCCUCAAAACCCUUGGUUGCUGUUCCCUUUUUAUCUGUUGCAGAUACAGCUUCCAUGUCAGGGUCGCAGAGGGGCUGUCCCAUGUCACAGAUCUCUGUCUCCCCCUUCUCUUUUCUCUUCUAUCACUUAGGUUUCUUUCCUCCAAUCUCCUCUUUGAGAGAAAACUCUCGUCUCUCAUGCCAUAUCUUGAAUUUUUCUUUGUUCUGUAUCCUCUUGAGACCCAGCCUGUCCUGUGAAAAUGGACUCAGACCCUCUGGCCAGGCCCCAGCUCUUGUGGCAGGUCAGAAGUGGAACCUGGCACCAUCAUUAUGCACAUUUCCUGGCCUGGCUUUGCCAUCCUUGCUGGCUUCAUCUCAGCUAAUGGGCUUUUGUUUGUUGAUGCCAACUCUUGUGCUAUUUCCUUUUCUAGUCUUGGUUUCAAGUUCCUUCUUCAGACAUUUAGUUACCAGGAAGAAAAGGAGGGAGGGACAUAUUUCUGUGAAGAACUAAAUUAUUAUAAAAUCGUGGUGUCCUUCCUGUCAGUGGUGUGGCACCCACAGGAAGGCAGAUGAGGUGUUCCUCUGGCUCAUUCCUGCUUCCACCCUCACACCCUGACCUUCUCUUGAGAGGUCAGUUUCCUCCUACAUGCCCUCCUGCCCAAGUUUUCACCAGCCUCUUGCUUUUUACCUCCCUCAGUUGGUGGCAAAUUUUCCAGUCCCCAAAUUGGAAAGCUUGACAAAGGCGAUUUUCUUAUUUGUGAGUUUAUUUGCUUGAUAAGCCUUAGGAAACCUUACAGCUGUAUUGCAUUUGAGUACCUCUGUACCAAUUUUAUUGAAAAAGAAUAAAAUUACAUUAAUUGGAAUUUUUUUCUAGAAAGUAUGAUUGUGAGAUUGCCGAGGCAAGGCAAGCUAUUGCAGAAAAGUAAGAAGACUAGAAAAGGGAGGAAUGACAUACUCUAUCUUAGCUAGGUUUUCAGGAAGAGAUUUUACAAAGCUUGAUUCAACCAAAACUACUUUUGUAUUAGUCAAGCAUGUUGGUAUGUACAAUUCAUUAUUUAAAGAUAUUUUUCAAAUAAAUUAGAAAAAGAAAAGUGACAAGGGACAUGAGAGAGAAUUGCCUAAAUUGACUGUCAUUAACCAUAAAUAUCUGGAAAAUGAGGGCAGAAGCAGUGUUAUGGGUUGACUCAUGUGCUCCAAAAGGAUGUGUUGAAAUCCUAACCCCCAGUCCUAACGUUAUUUGGAAAUAGAGUCAUUGCAAGUGUAAUUAGUUAAGGUGAGGUCAUACAGGUGGGCCCUUAAUCCAGUGUGACUGUUGUCCUUGUAAGAAAGUGAUGUGAAGACACAGAGAGGAUGACAUGUGACAGCGUGUUGGAGGCGGAGAUUGGAGCCAUGCAGCUGCAAGCCAGCAACACCAAGACCUGCUAGCAACACCAGAAGCUGAGAGAAGGGCAUGGAACAGAGGCAGCAUGGUCCUGCUGACCCCUUGAUUCUGGACUUCUGCCCUCCAGAACUAGGAGAGAAUAAAUUUCUGUUGUCCU
Molecule: long non-coding RNA, 9000 nt
Organism: Equus caballus (horse)
Lineage: Eukaryota; Metazoa; Chordata; Mammalia; Perissodactyla; Equidae
Source: Ensembl